Molecule: transfer RNA, 73 nt
Filed under: Candidatus Chloroheliaceae bacterium
Lineage: Bacteria; Bacillati; Chloroflexota; Chloroflexia; Candidatus Chloroheliales; Candidatus Chloroheliaceae
Description: tRNA-Glu
Rfam family: tRNA
About the family: Transfer RNA (tRNA) molecules are approximately 80 nucleotides in length. Their secondary structure includes four short double-helical elements and three loops (D, anti-codon, and T loops).
Source: RNAcentral
GCGCGUAUCGUCUAGCGGCCUAGGACAUCGCCCUUUCACGGCGGCAACCGGGGUUCGAUUCCCCGUACGCGUA